This is a long non-coding RNA of Apteryx haastii (Great spotted kiwi), 1236 nucleotides long. Lineage: Eukaryota; Metazoa; Chordata; Aves; Apterygiformes; Apterygidae. The record is from Ensembl.
AUGGAGCAGCUCAYCCUGGAGGCCAUCUCUAAGCAUGUGAAGGAAAAGAAGGUGAUCAGGAGUAGUAAGCAUGGCUUCACCAAGGGGAAAUCAUGCUUAACCAAUCUGAUAGCCUUCUAUGAUGGAAUGACUGSCUGGGGAGAUGAGGGGAGAGCAGUGGAUGUUGUCUACCUWGACUUCAGCAAGGCUUUUGACACUGUCUCCCAUGACAUCCUCAUAGGCAAGCUCAGGAUGUGUGGAAUGGAUGAGCAGACAAUGAGGUGGAYUGRGAACWRGCUGAAUGGCAGAGUUCAGAGGGUUGCGAUCAGUGGUGUAAAGUCUAGUUGGAGACCUGUAGCUAGUGCUGUCUCCCAGGGGUCAAUACUGAGUCCAGUAUUGUUCAACUUCUUCAUCAGUGAGCUGGAUGAAGGGACAGAGUGCACCCUCAGCCAGUUUUCUGAUGAUACAAAACUGGGAGGAGUGGCUGAUACACCGGAGGGCUGUGCUGCCAUUCAGAGGGACCUGGACAGGCCGGAGAGGUGGGCAGAGAGGAACCUCCUGAAGUUCAGCAAAGGCAAGUGCAGGUUCCUGCACCUGGGGAGGAAUAACCCCAUGCAGCAGUACAGGUUGGGGGUUGACCUGCUGGAAAGCAGCUCUGCGGAGAAGGACCUGGGAGUGCUGGUGGACACCAAGUUAAGCAUGAGCCAGCAAUGUGCCCUUGUGGCCAAGAAGGCCAAUGGUAUCUUGGGGUGCAUGAGGAAGAGUGUUGCCAGCAGGUGGAGGGAGGUGAUCCUCCCCCUCGACUCAGCCCUGGUGAGGCCGCAUCUGGAGUACCGUGCCCAGUUCUGGGCUCCCCAGUACAAGAGGGAUGUGGCGCUACUGGAGCAAGUCCAGCGAAGGGCUACAAAGAUGAUUAGGGGACUGGAGCAUCUCUCUUAUGAGGAAAGGCUGAGAGAGCUGGCCCUCUUUAGCCUGGAGAAGAGAAGGCUGAGAGGGGAUCUUAUCAGUGUAUACAAAUAUCUGAAGGGAGGGUGUCAAGAGGAUGGGACCAGACUCUUUUCAGUGGUGCCCAGCAACAGGACGCGAGGCAAUGGGCACAAACUGAAACACAGACACUUCCAUCUGAACAUGAGGAAAAACUUCUUCACUGUGAGGGUGACAGAGCACUGGCACAGGUUGCCCAGAGAGGUUGUGGAGUCUCCUUCUCUGGAGAUAUUCAGAACCCGCCUGGAUGCGAUCCUGUGCAACGUGCUCUAG